This 710-nucleotide long non-coding RNA is filed under the name Olea europaea (common olive). RNAcentral's name for it is "long non-coding RNA (OEUR_LNC014043)". The record is from RNAcentral. Lineage: Eukaryota; Viridiplantae; Streptophyta; Magnoliopsida; Lamiales; Oleaceae.
UUGAAGCUGUCCAAUAAUGCGCCCUCAAGUGUUCUCUAUGUAUUUGAGUCAGAAUUUGAGCUUCGAUAUGUAGUAUGAUUGGGAAAGACCAAUCGUGCACGUGAUGGGCCAACAUUUCCUUCCCAGUCCAUGUGUGCUAUAGUCUGUAGACUGUUUAAAUAGUAACCAUGUCGACUCAUACACGUAAUUCCAUAGCAAACCCAGAUCAAGAAAUUCGUCAAGAUCGCCGAAAAUCAACAGAGAAAUAUGGGUUUGAAGGUAUGAUUAUGUAUCUUUUUCAAAAAUGCUUUAAUUUCAGUACUAUUGACAUGCGUGCUUUUAUUUUUCCCUUUCAAUUUUGUAGUUGUUUGCACGGUGUUUUUAAAUGAAGAGUUCAGCACGAGAUUUGUAGUGGAUCUGGGUAAAAUUGAUCCAUGGAAUGGUAAUUCAGUUGAGGAACUUCUUUAUAAAUGGGACUUAAAUUAUUCAUAUCUUGGGAUUAUGGGUUUUGGUUUGUCCAUGAUUUGUUGUUGAAUAUUUUGAGAAAAUUCAUAUGGGUUUCUUGUUCUACUGGGAUUUGUGAAAAUUUUCCAGUUGUAUAUUACAUUGCUGUAUAUGAUUUGAUGUGUUUAUCUGAGUGAAUGAGGAGUGAUUUGAGAGUUUUGCUGUUUGAUGCUGCUAUGGGAGUGUCAGUUAAUGUGAACUGAAUAUAGUGUAUGUUUGGUAGUGAC